RNAcentral lists this ribosomal RNA (242 nucleotides) under uncultured bacterium. RNAcentral's name for it is "partial 16S ribosomal RNA". It matches the Rfam family "Bacterial small subunit ribosomal RNA", at positions 97 to 339 of the family's 1533-position model. The record is from RNAcentral.
GGCGGAUGGGUGCGUAACGCGUAUGCAACUUGCCUCACAGUGGAGAAUAACCCGGAGAAAUCCGGACUAAUGUUCCAUACACUCUUAGGGACCCAUGUCCCUGAGAGGAAAGAUUUAUCGCUGUGAGAUAGGCAUGCGUCCUAUUAGGUAGUUGGUGAGGUAACGGCUCACCAAGCCGACGAUAGGUAGGGGUGCUGAGAGGCAGAUCCCCCACAUUGGGACUGAGACACGGCCCAAACUCC